This 439-nucleotide ribosomal RNA is filed under the name uncultured bacterium. Its description in RNAcentral is "partial 16S ribosomal RNA". It matches the Rfam family "Bacterial small subunit ribosomal RNA", at positions 339 to 795 of the family's 1533-position model. The record is from RNAcentral.
CUACGGGGCGCUGCAGUGAGGAAUAUUGCACAAUGGGGGGAACCCUGAUGCAGCAACGCCGCGUGGAGGAUGACGCAUUUCGGUGUGUAAACUCCUUUUAUAUGUCAAGAAAAUGACGGUAGCAUAUGAAUAAGCACCGGCUAACUCCGUGCCAGCAGCCGCAGUAAUACGGAGGGUGCAAGCGUUACUCGGGAUCACUGGGCGUAAAGGACGCGUAGGCGGGUUGGAAAGUCAGGUGUGAAAUCCUACAGCUUAACUGUAGAACUGCACUUGAAACUUCUAAUCUAGAGUAUGGGAGGGGGAGAUGGAAUUAGUGGUGUAGGGGUAAAAUCCGUAGAUAUCACUAGGAAUACCUAAAGCGAAGGCGAUCUCCUGGAACAUUACUGACGCUAAGGCGUGAAAGCGUGGGGAGCAAACAGGAUUAGAUACCCUAGUACUC